CUGUAGUUAAGAAACACCAAGUAUAGAGCUUUCUAUCUGUGAAGCUCUUCACCAGAAGCUCAAGAAUGAUGACGGAAAAAACACCAGUUGCAAUGAGUUUAAGAUAGUAAUCAUUAACUCUCCCGCACAAGUAUCUGCAGAAUGCCUUGAGAAAAUGAUAUUCACUAAAUAUUUGUGUCCACAAAAACAUUGUCGUCACUACGUAUGCGUGAUAAAGGGGAGGAGAUUUUUCAACCAACAGAAG
This 244-nucleotide unclassified non-coding RNA is filed under the name Hevea brasiliensis (rubber tree). The record is from RNAcentral. Lineage: Eukaryota; Viridiplantae; Streptophyta; Magnoliopsida; Malpighiales; Euphorbiaceae.